Molecule: transfer RNA, 76 nt
Filed under: Candidatus Melainabacteria bacterium
Lineage: Bacteria; Bacillati; Candidatus Melainabacteria
Also listed under: 2 other names
Description: tRNA-Asp
Rfam family: tRNA
About the family: Transfer RNA (tRNA) molecules are approximately 80 nucleotides in length. Their secondary structure includes four short double-helical elements and three loops (D, anti-codon, and T loops). Further hydrogen bonds mediate the characteristic L-shaped molecular structure. tRNAs have two regions of fundamental functional importance: the anti-codon, which is responsible for specific mRNA codon recognition, and the 3' end, to which the tRNAs corresponding amino acid is attached (by aminoacyl-tRNA synthetases). tRNAs cope with the degeneracy of the genetic code in two manners: having more than one tRNA (with a specific anti-codon) for a particular amino acid; and 'wobble' base-pairing, i.e. permitting non-standard base-pairing at the 3rd anti-codon position.
Source: RNAcentral
GGUGCUGUAACUCAGUGGUCAGAGUGCUGCGUUGUCAGCGCAGAAGCCGGGGGUUCAAUUCCCCCCAGCAUCGCCA